This 253-nucleotide ribosomal RNA is filed under the name uncultured bacterium. Its description in RNAcentral is "partial 16S ribosomal RNA". It matches the Rfam family "Bacterial small subunit ribosomal RNA", at positions 524 to 776 of the family's 1533-position model. The record is from RNAcentral.
UACAGAGGGUGCGAGCGUUAAUCGGAAUUACUGGGCGUAAAGCGUGCGUAGACGGCUAUCUAAGUCGGGUGUGAAAGCCCCGGGCUCAACCUGGGAAUUGCAUUCGAGACUGAAUAGCUAGGGUACGGUAGAGGGAAGCGGAAUUUCCGGCGUAGCGGUGAAAUGCGUAGAUAUCGGAAGGAACAUCAGUGGCGAAAGCGGCUUCCUGGACCAGUACCGACGUUCAGGCACGAAAGCGUGGGGAGCAAACAGG